CCUACGGGCGGCAGCAGUGAGGAAUAUUGGUCAAUGGGCGGAAGCCUGAACCAGCCAAGUAGCGUGCAGGAUGACGGCCCUCCGGGCUGUAAACUGCGUUUAUACGGGAGAAACGCGCCUUACGUGUAGGGCUUUGCAUGUACCGUAUUAAUAAGGACCGGCUAAUUCCGUGCCAGCAGCCGCGGUAAUACUGAAGGUCCGGGCGUUAUCCGGAUUUGUUGGGUUUAAAGGGAGCGUAGGCCGCAUGUCAAGCGUGCUGUGAAAUGGCCGGGCUCAACCCGGGCCUUGCAGCGCGAACUGGCGUGCUUGAGUCCGCGGAAGGCAGGCGGAAUUCGUGGUGUAGCGGUGAAAUGCUUAGAUAUGACGAAGAACACCGAUUGCGAAGGCAGCUUGCUGCAGCGGAACUGACGCUGAUGCUCGAAAGCGCGGGUAGCGAACAGGAUUAGAUACCCUGGUAGUC
RNAcentral lists this ribosomal RNA (460 nucleotides) under uncultured bacterium. RNAcentral's name for it is "partial 16S ribosomal RNA". It matches the Rfam family "Bacterial small subunit ribosomal RNA", at positions 338 to 795 of the family's 1533-position model. The record is from RNAcentral.